CGCACACACACACACACACACACACACACACAUACACAGAGAGAGAGAGAGAGAGACGCGCACACAGACACACGCACACAGACGCGCACGCCCGCCCGCUCCCGCGCUGCCUCAGCAGGAGGAGCCCGGCCGGAACACACCAGGGCAGCACCAGGUGAGGUAAUGAAACUGUUGAAUCUGCAGACUGAAACCGUCAGAAGCCUUUCCUGAGGCCCUGAUGCUGCACAGUACCUCAAUCCAUUCAGCUUCUCUUCAAGAUGGUAACUACUUUCCGCUCCACAUCUCUGCUGCAGAAGAUCUUGUGAUUACCUGAAAAAGUGAAUUGCAUCCUGUAGAUUUCCCCUUAAAACUUCUGCUUCACAGAAGAGAUCAGCUUGUGACAGAUGCGUCAGCAAUGUCAGACUCACUUCUCUGUUGCCUAAUUGCCCUCUCCACCUUCUGUCAAUCUGAAACUCUCAUUUUGGAAAGGACUGAAGGAGUUGUAUUAAUAUUUGUGCUAUCCACAUUUUUCCUGCAUAUUGUCUGCUCCUUCCCUUGGUGUCUGGUUUGUCUUGGCUGCUUUUAAAAAUUCUGUUGCCUCUAGUGAGGGACUGCCAGAUUAAACCAGUACAGAGAAUCCAGGUGACUGUCUACUUUUACAAAUAUAGGUUGUGUAUAAUAAAUUCAGGUUUUACAUCUAUGCAAAUUAAGUCAUCAUAUGAUUAUGACUACAUGCAUUUUUUUAUCAAAUAUGGCAUAUAUUUCACAAAUUAUAUUUAACUUAUACACAUGUUGCUAUUCUGAAUACCUGACUAGGAAUUACAAAGUGUGUCACUAGAUCUUAGUAAGUGGGCUUAUGGAACAAGAAGAAAUAAGAGAAAAUCACCUCUUUUCCUUGCAUUCCUGACAAGUCCAGUGUAAGGGCUUUUCCUACUCUAGAUGGCAAUAUAAACACCUUACCACAGAGCUGUUGAGAGAUAAAAGUACAUCUUGUUGUUGGAAACUUAAAGAAUGUAUGAAAAACAAAACAAAAUACCCUAAAAAAGGAAGUUUUAAAGUAAUGUGUCUUUGGUCUAGUGUUUGUCACAUCUACUUGGUAUGGCCUUCCUCUAAUGUUUCAGUCAUGCAGUGUAAGACAUUAGUCACAAUGUCAAAAUAAGCACAUUACUUCUGCAAAAAUGUAUUUUCACCUCAGGAAUAUUGUGAAGUGAAAAUAGGAUUUAGCACAAUUCUUCCUUUUGAGUUUUUCUACAGACAGGACAGUUUUAGUGUAAAGCUCUAAAUCUUGCAAGAUUAUUCCCAGCAUUAGGUACGACACAUCUGGAAGAAUCUGCCAACUGAGUGCUAGCAAGGAUUACGCUGAGAAGGUAACAACUCAGUGCUUUCACUGUUAACCGUCCUCCACAACUGCUGUUUUUUGGUGUUUUUGUGUGUGUGUGUUCGUUUGUUUCUUUGUUUUCCGAAUAAAUAAACAAAUACUUUGUUGAGCUCAAGAUGUCUCUGUCAGUAUUUAUAUUUCAGACUGCAGGAGAAUCUGAUCUGGAUGGAUGUACAAUUCAGGUGGAACUUAGGUGUGAUCCAGAAAACCUCUGCUAAACAGAGGCAGUUGCUAAACCUCAAAGUAGUAUGUUACACCUCUAAAUUCACCCUUUUCCAUCUGGGAAUGCCAGGCUACCUUUUGGGCCUGCUCAUGUCCAAGUCCUCUGGACCCCAGAUCUACGAUGUUUUGUUCCUCCACCCAAAUCAUUUAAUUGGCACAACCUGAUCCCUACUCCUCAGGCUCCCAUCUUUUAAUAUAUUUUAAUUUUUUUUUUUACUUUAUUUGUAUUUUUUAAUCGAGGAUGGUGUUGCGUAUUUUCCACAGCAAUUUUAGAUAGAGUGGACAGGAAUAAUCCCAGGAAAAUUCAGUUUAUGUUCCAACCCUGAGAAUAAUCUAAACAUUAGAUUAUGAUCUCAGGAAUCCUGAAUUUGUUGUGGGGCCUCAAGGGCACCGUUUCAGUAGAAGGGUCAAGCAUGCUUUUUCU
RNAcentral lists this long non-coding RNA (2003 nucleotides) under Gallus gallus (chicken). The record is from RNAcentral. Lineage: Eukaryota; Metazoa; Chordata; Aves; Galliformes; Phasianidae.